GACGAACGCUGGCGGCGUGCUUAACACAUGCAAGUCGAGCGGUAAGGCCCUUUCGGGGGUACACGAGCGGCGAACGGGUGAGUAACACGUGGGUGACCUGCCUCUAGCUCUGGGAUAAGCCCGGGAAACUGGGGUCUAAUACUGGAUAUGACUCCAUGACGCAUGUUGUGGGGUGGAAAGCCUUGUGCGGCUAGAGAUGGGCCCGCGGCCUAUCAGCUUGUUGGUGGGGGAUGGCCUACCAAGGCGACGACGGGUAGCCGGCCUGAGAGGGCGACCGGCCACACUGGGACUGAGACACGGCCCAGACUCCUACGGGAGGCAGCAGUGGGGAAUCUUGCGCAAUGGGCGAAAGCCUGACGCAGCGACGCCGCGUGAGGGAUGACGGCCU
RNAcentral lists this ribosomal RNA (388 nucleotides) under uncultured bacterium. Its description in RNAcentral is "bacterial SSU rRNA". It matches the Rfam family "Bacterial small subunit ribosomal RNA", at positions 28 to 417 of the family's 1533-position model. The record is from RNAcentral.